RNAcentral lists this small nuclear RNA (289 nucleotides) under Erinaceus europaeus (western European hedgehog). RNAcentral describes it as "7SK RNA". It matches the Rfam family "7SK RNA". From Rfam's summary of the family: 7SK was discovered as an abundant small nuclear RNA in the mid-70s but a possible function has only recently been suggested. Two independent studies have found that 7SK RNA binds the CDK9/cyclin T complex (known as elongation factor P-TEFb). Lineage: Eukaryota; Metazoa; Chordata; Mammalia; Eulipotyphla; Erinaceidae. The record is from Rfam by way of RNAcentral.
GGAUGUGAGGGUGAUCUGGCUGCAACAUCUGUCACCCCACUGAUCACCAGGCUUGAUUCUGCUGAUCUGGCUGGCUAGGCGGGUGUCCCCUUCCUCCCUCACCGCUCCAUGUGCGUCCCUCCCGAAGCUGCACGCUUGGUUGAAGAGGAUGGCCUUCCCUGAAUAGAGAAUGACGGGUCAUCUGGUUGAGGGUAUAUGAGUAGCUGCGCUCCCCUGCUACAACCUCCAAACAAGCUCUCAAGGUCCAAAGCUCCUUUGUAAUGCGGGCUCAGCUCAAACCCGGGUCUUU